UCCCCGUUCACCGGGGCAGUCCCCUCAGAGUGCCCGGCACGACCCGGUAGCAACAGAGGGCGAGGGUUGCGCUCGUUGCGGGACUUAACCCAACAUCUCACGACACGAGCUGACGACAGCCAUGCACCACCUGUGAAGGUGUCCCGAAGGAAAGAUGUGUUUCCACACCGGUCACCUACAUGUCAAGCCCAGGUAAGGUUCUUCGCGUUGCGUCGAAUUAAACCACAUGCUCCGCUGCUUGUGCAGGCCCCCGUCAAUUUCUUUGAGUUUUAACCUUGCGGCCGUACUCCCCAGGCGGAUAACUUAAUGCGUUAGCUGCGCCACCAAAAGCCCAUGGCCCCUGACAGCUAGUUAUCAUCGUUUACGGCGUGGACUAC
Molecule: unclassified non-coding RNA, 377 nt
Filed under: uncultured bacterium
Lineage: Bacteria
Description: contains 16S-23S intergenic spacer region
Source: RNAcentral